This 591-nucleotide ribosomal RNA is filed under the name Exyrias puntang (Puntang goby). RNAcentral describes it as "partial large subunit ribosomal RNA". It matches the Rfam family "Bacterial large subunit ribosomal RNA", at positions 1837 to 2629 of the family's 2925-position model. Lineage: Eukaryota; Metazoa; Chordata; Actinopteri; Gobiiformes; Gobiidae. RNAcentral also lists the same sequence under 1 other name. The record is from RNAcentral.
CGUCAAUUAUUAAGGAGGUCCCGCCUGCCCUGUGACUAAAAGUUUAACGGCCGCGGUAUUUUGACCGUGCGAAGGUAGCGUAAUCACUUGUCUUUUAAAUAGAGACCUGUAUGAAUGGCACAACGAGGGCUAAGCUGUCUCCUUUUUCUAGUCAAUGAAAUUGAUCUACCCGUGCAGAAGCGGGUAUAACAACAUAAGACGAGAAGACCCUAUGGAGCUUAAGGCGCCACUACAGACCACGUUAAUAUACCCCCAUAAAAGGGAACAAACCAAAUGGCCCCUGUUUUGCUGCCUUUGGUUGGGGCGACCGCGGAGCAACGAGUAACCUCCACGUGGAACGAGUUUAUUCUCCUAAGACAAGAGCCACAGCUCUACUAAACAGAAGAUCUGACCCUAAAGAUCCGGCAAAGCCGAUCAACGGACCCAGUUACCCUAGGGAUAACAGCGCAAUCCCCUUCUAGAGCCCAUAUCGACAAGGGGGUUUACGACCUCGAUGUUGGAUCAGGACCUCCUAAUGGUGCAGCCGCUAUUAAGGGUUCGUUUGUUCAACGAUUAAAGUCCUACGUGAUCUGAUUUCAAACCGGGGGAAAG